Long non-coding RNA from Cydia fagiglandana, 4125 nucleotides. RefSeq lists it as uncharacterized. The transcript is spliced from 2 exons. NCBI's taxonomy places the organism in Eukaryota, Metazoa, Arthropoda, Insecta, Lepidoptera, Tortricidae. The record is from RefSeq and is a predicted model, not a curated record.
ACCGAGUGGCGACGACAUAAGUACCUACCACGAGUACGGCACCGUCACCGCAAGGCAGGGUCACUAAACCAGCUCUUAUCCACGACUAAAACAUAAUGAUGGGUGGCGUGGACAAGAAAGAUCAGAGCUGCUUUCCCCAUCGAAAGGAGACGAACAAAGGUGUGGUAUAAGAAACUAUUUCGUAGUCUCCUAAACGUCGCCAUUUAAAACUCAAAAUCCCAACAUGUCGCACCUUCCGAAUGUCACUUGAAGCGCUGGUGACUGCAGACGAUUUAAGGAAUCACACACCUUCGACAAAAUAGCAGAAAUUAUUAUUGAUAUACAUUCCGAAUAUGAUUUAAGACUGCCUAAAAUAACAAAAAUUGUGACAUGGUCAAAGCUUUCAAAAUAUUUGGAAAACCUGACUUACCAGACGUAGAAAGUGAUGGAAUCUUGAAUGAAACUGAUGACUUCCUUGAUAAUGAUAACAAUAAUGAGCAAACUUGUUACGGUUCAAACGCAACUAAUAGAAUCUAUUAGUAGCAUUUUAGAACACUUGAAGACAUUUCUUUUCAACAGUGAUCAGAUUUCAGUAAACGCCUACUUGUUUCCUAAACGAAAAAGAAAAUGUAGCUGCCAUUGCUUUCUUGACGGAUAUUUUUAAACAUAUCAAUAACCUGAACCGUACCUAAACUUCAAGGCAAGGGAAAGCUUGUAUGGGAGCUCAUGUCAGAAGUAAAAAGUUUUUCGCGAAAACUCGAUCUCUUUAUUAAUGAUCUUUUGAUAUUGAGGAAAUUCUUGAAAAGGUUUGCACUGAAUUACAAAUACUUGAAUCCUAAUAGCAUUGGAAUCCCAUAAGGACUAUUGAUCUGUUACAGAACGAGUAUUCCCGGCAGAAAAUACAUCUAUUUAUUACACUAAAGGACCUGAAGUGUUUGGGAGAGCCCAUGAUCGGUUGUUUGACGCAGUGAAUAAUCUGAAGGCUACUAUCGCCGAAACAAAAUAUACCAGCCAAGGGCGCGUCGUUCCUUAGAAAAAACGUUUACUCCAACAACAGCAUCAAUGCAGUACGCUACAACUAACAAAAGCUGAGAUAACCGGUUAGAGAGGACCCUGAAACCACCUCGGAGAGUCAAGCAGACCUAGAUUGAAAGAACACUGAAAUAGAAGAAUGCCGAGUGGCUCAGAUCGUCUGCAGACAACUAUACACUUUGUGAUGAAAAGUGGGCCAUAACUAGGAAACGGCGCCAGCAGUCUGUAUUACAGAAGACGCGAAACAUUAAAAAUAAGUUGUGUGAGAGACCUCGGAGAAGAUGGGUAUCUUCUCCGAGCACUCGUGCCCCAGCUUGAGUAUGGUUUUUGGUAAAAAAAUAAUCAACUCGCAUUGACUUUAACAACUGUAAAACCUUUUCACUUCGAUAGACACAACAAUACCGUAGCUUAUACCAAUGUAGGUAAGUUAUGGGGCCUCGAUUACGCCGAUACUCGGUGACGAACGGCGACACUUGUAGUUGUAGGCAGAGCAUCAGACUAGCCGAGUUUAACGACGGUGACAUAAUCAGGCUUCCAAAUAUAACGGGAAUGACAAACAUUUAAUAAAGACUCCAUUCCACUCGGUCCCAAAUUACACACUUUUGAGCGUGUAGAACAUUAAGAACAAGUUGUACGAGCUACUUGUCUUCCGCAAGCACGAGCAUAGCGACGAAACAAAUAUUGCGUUCAUCUCAUCAAUCCCGGCACUCGCUCCUGACGUGGACAUCUACAAGUGGGAGGCGGCCCGAAGUAUCUCAAGAAAGUAAUAAAGGAACAUCUGGAGGAGAGGUCCUUGCCAUGCGGAGGGACUUCUACUCGAGAUGCUAAGAAAACACAAUAUGAGAUCAUUCCUCUCCGUGCCUAAUAAGCAGAAAACGUUGAUAUGGAAAGACGCUGGGAUAUGAUUCGUUGAAGUGAUCAACCCGAAAAUUAUAAAUAAGCAAGACAGCAAGUUAAAUAACGGUUCAACACAGACAGAUGACAAUAAUGAAAAUGAAAUUCUUCUGCAGUUAAAGGAAAAAUUUAAUGACCCCUUCACGUCUACUGCCUUAAAAACAACUAGGUAUUCUCACUUUGGCGCCAAAAUCAUGGAGUGAAAAGCGGCUUGCUGAAGAGUUUCACACAACUAGACGUCAAGCUAAAAAGGCAAAGGAAUUAGUUAAGGAAAAAGGCAUUUUGCCAUCGCUCAAUCCGCGAGGAGGUCGUAAAUUAACACCCGAAACGGAAAUUUUGUGAAAAGUUUCCAUUUGAGGGAAGGUAAUACUAGAAUAAUGCCCGGGAAAAGACUGUUUCGGUUAAGUUACAUGACGGAAACAGAGUUCAUUUACAGAAGCAGCUCUUAAUGUGCAAUAUUGAUGAAUUAUACCAACAGUUUAAACAAGAAUAUCCGGUAUAAAAGUGGGGCUUACCAAAUUCUUCACAUUGCGCCCUAAACAAUGUAUUUUUGCUGGCGACUCUAAGUAUUGUCAUGAUAUCUGAUGACCUCAAACAUGACAUUGCAGCAUUUUAAACAUUUCAAGGUGUCUUGCGUCGGCAUCUCCAAGAAAAUAAUAUUCCUGUUAAGACUUUGUAUUAUUAAACUUUAAAUUCUGUUGAUUAUGUUUUAGAUAUUGAAUCCUAUUGUGAUAAAAAAAAAAAAAACUGCGCAAUUGAUCAAGCAAUCAUCAAAGACAUGGAUGAUGGUUUAACAUGGACAUGGUUUAACAUGGGAGCCACAUGUGUCUGACGUCAGUCGCCGGGUGAACAAUACAUUGCGGGCGCUUUAUAAACAUAAAAACUUUUUACCGGCAAGCACUAAAAUUUUACUUGUUCAGUCCCUAAUAUUGCCAAUCAUUGACUACGCUGAUGUCUGUUGCACAAACAUUACACAAGCCUCGCUGUCCAAACUUGAUCGUCUCCUUAACAAUUGCAUCAGAUUCGUUUUUAACCUGCGCAAAUAUGACCAUGUCUCUGCCUUUCGCCGUAAACUCCAAUGGCUCCCAAUUCGUGAACGCAGGUCAUUGCGAAUUUUAUGUACUCUGUAUUCAAUUUUAUUUGACCCAGCUGCACCCAGUUAUCUCAGGUCUAAAUUUGAGUUUAUAACAGCCCGUCCUGGUUGCAUUCUCCGUGCUUCUCGUAGUCUGAUGCUGGCUGUCCUCCCUCAUCGGACUGGAUUCUUGUCCAACUCAUUCACCUGCCAAGCAAUUCGUCUGUGGAAUGCUCUCCCUCUGCCUAUCAGACAAGCUCAGAGCAAGCUUUCAUUCAAAAGCAAGUUGCGUAAGCAUUUAUUUGAAAGCAUUCGAGACUAAAUGUAUAUGUGAUGUCUCACACUAGGUACAUAAUUAUUAUAUAUAUAUGUAUGUUUAUUUAUAUAUAUUGAAUUUGUAUAUACGUAGGUAUAUUUUAAAAUGUAUAUUUGUGUAAUAGUAUAGUAUAGUAUUAUAGUUUGUAGUGUCGACUUGUGUCUAUAUUCUCAUAUUCACUAUUUACAAUCCUGCACCAAAUUAAUUACUGUCUCUGUUUAGCCCAAUGGUUGACUGGUAGAGAAUGCCUCAAGGCGUUAAGUCCGCCAAUUGUACUCUUUUUUUGUAAAUUUGUGCAAUAAAGUUUAAAUAAAUAAAUAAAUGAUGAUAAGGUAAACAACUAUUUAUUUAUUAUAAGCAGAAAUACAUUUUCAUUACUGACAGCGCACCACAACACUUUAAAAAUAGAUAUAAUUUCAUAAAUUUAUUCUACUUUAACCAGGAUUUUGGUGCAGAAGCAGAACUCCAUUUCCACGCUACUGCCCAUGGCAAAGGACCAUGUGAUGGUCGGUCUUGGUGGUAACCUGAAACGCUUGGCCACACAUGCAAGCUUACAAUCUGCUGUAAAAAAAAGCCAUCACCACACCCAGGCGUUUAUACGAAUGGGCCAAAGCAUCGUUGACUCAAACAAUGUAGGUAAUGCAGAGACAACAACUACGUCGCAAGAAAAGGACGAGAACAAGGAAAAUAUGGAUCUGAUCCACUGCCGAUGCCGAAAGGAUGCCACAGAGAAGAGGUCUUUUUGUCAAGGAAUUUAAUUUAGCUUGGAUAUUUGUUUAAUUUAAAAUGGAUUAUUCAUUCCUUAUAAUAAAUAGCUUUUUCUUUAAAUUAA